Molecule: ribosomal RNA, 88 nt
Filed under: Gordonia desulfuricans
Lineage: Bacteria; Bacillati; Actinomycetota; Actinomycetes; Mycobacteriales; Gordoniaceae
Source: RNAcentral
CGGUCCCAUUCCGAACCCGGAAGCUAAGCCUGCCAGCGCCGAUGGUACUGCACUUUAGUCAGUGUGGGAGAGUAGGACACCGCCGAAC